UUAAGUUCAGCGGGUAGUCCUACCUGAUUUGAGGCCAGAUCAUAAAAUGGGUUUAGUUUACUUGCGUAAAGCUAAGAAUUAGAAGCGGAUCUAAGACUUUCUUUAUCUCGGCCAUCCGUUAAGAUGUCCUCGGCGAAAUACUUAUCACGUCGAGUGGAACCGAUUACAAAAAGGAUCUGCUAAUUCAUUUCAAGCGAGCC
This 200-nucleotide unclassified non-coding RNA is filed under the name Tremellomycetes sp. Its description in RNAcentral is "partial internal transcribed spacer 2". Lineage: Eukaryota; Fungi; Basidiomycota; Tremellomycetes. The record is from RNAcentral.